GUGUUGUGAAAUGUUGGGUUAAGUCCCGCAACGAGCGCAACCCUUAUCCUUUGUUGCCAGCGGUCCGGCCGGGAACUCAAAGGAGACUGCCAGUGAUAAACUGGAGGAAGGUGGGGAUGACGUCAAGUCAUCAUGGCCCUUACGACCAGGGCUACACACGUGCUACAAUGGCACAUACAAAGAGAAGCGACCUCGCGAGAGCAAGCGGACCUCAUAAAGUGCGUCGUAGUCCGGAUUGGAGUCUGCAACUCGACUCCAUGAAGUCGGAAUCGCUAGUAAUCGUGGAUCAGAAUGCCACGGUGAAUACGUUCCCGGGCCUUGUACACACCGCCCGUCACACCAUGGGAGUGGGUUGCAAAAGAAGUAGGUAGCUUAACCUUCGGGAGGGCGCUUACCACUUUGUGAUUCAUGACUGGGGUGAAGUCGUAACAAGGUAACCGUAGGGGAACCUGCGGUUGGAUCACCUCCUUACCUUAAAGAAGC
RNAcentral lists this ribosomal RNA (483 nucleotides) under Streptomyces sp. WAC07061. RNAcentral's name for it is "bacterial SSU rRNA". It matches the Rfam family "Bacterial small subunit ribosomal RNA", at positions 1062 to 1533 of the family's 1533-position model. Lineage: Bacteria; Bacillati; Actinomycetota; Actinomycetes; Kitasatosporales; Streptomycetaceae. The record is from RNAcentral.